UGUAGCAACAUGACCAACUUACAUCACAGCCUUUUGCCCUUUGUCAUGAAGUUGUACAUGUAAAUGGUUCAAAAAUCCGAGAAGAAGAAUGGAGACAUCAAAAGGUAUCUAGAGAAGUUCAGACUCAGCUUCUGCCUCAUGCCAACAAAAUUUGAAAAACCUAUGGAAAGAGAGCAAACAACUGGCCCAAAAUCUAAGGAAAGAAAGUAUCUCCAGGGAGAAAAGAGAUUUGCACCCAUGACCAUCUGAAGGUAGAUACUAAGACAGAAGCCAGCACAACUGCAGGAGAAAUGAAAUGAGGUUCUAAGCCACCUUACAGCUUACAUUGGCCCCACCAGUCUUUUUGUUCAUUGGUUACGUGAGUCAAAUUUAUACCCCUAAAUCCACAAUAUGCUGCCUGCAGAACCCAAAGAAGCCUGAGAAGCAUGGUGAUUACUUCUUAGUAGUGGAAAGAAUGAGACACUUUUGCCUGACUCGUGUCCAGUUUAUGCCUGCCUGACCAUUUCAGAGCUGAGUCUGACCUUGUGUUUUCCCCAGUAUCCUGGGGGAAACCUGGCCUGGAGCAACCCCUACUAUUUUGAUAGAAGAAAAUCUUCCAGAUUGACACAGAAACGAGAAUGAAAUAUCACCUCUCAAGUGAGAAUUCAAAAGGCUGAUGUAAAUGAGGAGAAGAAUUUCAAGCUAGUAAAUCUUGGGUGAUUAACUUCAAGAAGCAAGCCUAUAACAAGCACAGAGUACUGAAGGACACAAUAGCUGAUGAGAAAUAUAAACACAGUUUUUGAAGGAUAAAACUAGAAGAAAGAAUCCAUAACUCAUCUAGAAGAGCAGAAAAAGAUGAAAUCUGAAUUCUGGCUAUCAUGGAUGCCUUAUGAAUCAAGACAAUUCACCCUGAAGAACUCCAGACAGGAGCGGGAAUUAUAGGGUUCCAGUACUUCAGGAGGCAGGAUGAGGUAGAACUGAAAUAGGUAAAUCCACAUAAAGACAAAUAAAAAGGAAAAGUGAUAUGGAUAGGAGACAGGGAAUCACUGUUUGAAGAUAGCAGUUCCCUGGAAAAGGCCCCACCCUCAAGCCUGAAGACACAAAGCCCUAAAUGAGGACAGAUAUUCCUGUUUUUGUGCCCAAAAAGUUGCCUUUUGGCCCAAUAUGCCCCCUAUCCUUUAUCCAUGUAAACCCCCAACCCCAGGCUCCAGAAGCAGACUAGCAUAAGACAAGCAGACGAAUGGCAGAACAACACAGCAGAGAAAGAGAGAAGAGGAGGAAGGUCUGAACGUAAAGAGGAGUUUAGGUUGCUGUGGUUGAAGAGGAGUUUGGCUGCUAGACAGCCUAGAUCAUCUUUCCACUUCAUCCCCCGCUUCUGGCUCCCCAUCAAUCCCACUGACAGCCACCUCCACCACUCAAUAAAACCUUGCAUUUAUCCAUCAA
Molecule: long non-coding RNA, 1422 nt
Organism: Symphalangus syndactylus (siamang)
Lineage: Eukaryota; Metazoa; Chordata; Mammalia; Primates; Hylobatidae
Source: RefSeq, a predicted model, not a curated record